Molecule: long non-coding RNA, 349 nt
Filed under: Brassica rapa (field mustard)
Lineage: Eukaryota; Viridiplantae; Streptophyta; Magnoliopsida; Brassicales; Brassicaceae
Description: long non-coding RNA (BRAP_LNC006200)
Source: RNAcentral
ACUUAUAAACUUUAUACUAUGGUUUAGGAGCAGCUUCUUAAUGAGACACUGAAACUACGACGAAACGGCAACCACUUCUCACGCGUCCUCCUUUCUUUUUUUUUUGUAAUACUCCUAGUACAUAGAGUAAAGAAUGUAAGCCAAUUUAUAUAAAUAGAAAGCAAAAGGGAAAAUGCUAGAAGACACAGAAACCAAACAACACCAACAAAAAAUGGCUUUCAGAAGAACAUCUUUGGUUUUGUAUACUCUCUUCAUCUUUUAUCUUCAACACAAUUUGCUUUCCGUGAGCUCACGACCUCACUCAGCUGAUACGAACCACGAGACUCUUCCUUUUUAUCCCUCAGAGACG